Non-coding RNA from Meleagris gallopavo (turkey), 103 nucleotides. The record is from RefSeq and is a predicted model, not a curated record. Lineage: Eukaryota; Metazoa; Chordata; Aves; Galliformes; Phasianidae.
CCGGCAGGUUCCCAGCCAAGGCUGGGGUCACUGGCAUGUAAAAGGAUCCAGCUCCCGAGGUUCAGGGAAGUAGGCAGGGCGUGCAGAUUCCACAUCUCUGAGG